RNAcentral lists this ribosomal RNA (484 nucleotides) under uncultured bacterium. RNAcentral's name for it is "partial 16S ribosomal RNA". It matches the Rfam family "Bacterial small subunit ribosomal RNA", at positions 30 to 507 of the family's 1533-position model. The record is from RNAcentral.
AUUGAACGCUGGCGGCAGGCCUAACACAUGCAAGUCGAGCGGAUGAAGGGAGCUUGCUCCUGGAUUCAGCGGCGGACGGGUGAGUAAUGCCUAGGAAUCUGCCUGGUAGUGGGGGAUAACGUCCGGAAACGGGCGCUAAUACCGCAUACGUCCUGAGGGAGAAAGUGGGGGAUCUUCGGACCUCACGCUAUCAGAUGAGCCUAGGUCGGAUUAGCUAGUUGGUGGGGUAAAGGCCUACCAAGGCGACGAUCCGUAACUGGUCUGAGAGGAUGAUCAGUCACACUGGAACUGAGACACGGUCCAGACUCCUACGGGAGGCAGCAGUGGGGAAUAUUGGACAAUGGGCGAAAGCCUGAUCCAGCCAUGCCGCGUGUGUGAAGAAGGUCUUCGGAUUGUAAAGCACUUUAAGUUGGGAGGAAGGGCAGUAAGUUAAUACCUUGCUGUUUUGACGUUACCAACAGACUAAGCACCGGCUAACUUCGUG